GGGGCUGACCGGUUUUGACAGGAUGUGUGAAUCCGUGCACCAGCAUGCAAGCUCAUGAGGGUAGAGCUUUGAUCACUGCUCUCAACAAUUUACGUGGCGAAAAUACUUACGCCAUGGCUGCUUAAUCUGACUUAACGUUGGAUUAGCUUAUGGACGGAUAAGAUCCGCCAGGCCAUCGUCGCCUGAUACUUCUGUUCUGUGAGUAUCAGAUAUGCGGCGUCGAUCAGCAGAACUGGGCCGUCGUGUGUUGCGCACGAUUGUCGAGACAACAGCAACUACGGAGAAGUUUAGGCUGUUGCCUGCCUUGCGUCUCCCGACAAUCAAAGUCAACUAAGCAUGUAGAACGUACGCGUUUAUCUUCUCUGGACCAGGGUUCGAUUCCCUGCAGCUCCACAA
This 396-nucleotide transfer-messenger RNA is filed under the name Cyclobacteriaceae. RNAcentral describes it as "ELB16-189 sp013141055 Standard tmRNA". It matches the Rfam family "transfer-messenger RNA". Rfam says of the family: Bacterial tmRNA, also known as 10Sa RNA or SsrA, is named for its dual tRNA and mRNA-like properties. Its role is to liberate the mRNA from a stalled ribosome. Lineage: Bacteria; Pseudomonadati; Bacteroidota; Cytophagia; Cytophagales. RNAcentral also lists the same sequence under 1 other name. The record is from RNAcentral.